UCUAAUUCAUUAAGGGUUGAGGAAAGGAAGUGGCUUUGAGGUUAAGUUCUCCCAGUUGUUAUCAUUUCUUGAAGUGAUUGUCUCAGAAAAAGAGCCUGGAUGAGCACAAAGGAGCUGGAGACUUGAGCACACACAAAAAAAGAAUUCAAUCCCUGCCCUCGAGGUGUUUAUAUUCCACUGGACAAAAAAAAAAAAGAAUUCAAUCCCUGCCCUCGAGGUGUUUAUAUUCCACUGGACAAAACCAACAGAUACAUCAAAAAGGAAAUUCAAAAUAUGCACAAAAGGGAAGUAGACUUGGAGUAGUCGCUAAAGCUCUCAACACCUCAGUUUCCUCUGCAAUGUGGUAAGAUGGAAAGAGAACUGGAGUCCCAAAUCGAUAUACCUAUCUUGUUUGCCAUGGUUAUCCAGUGAAAAUAAGUGAGACUUGAGGACUGAUGAGAUGUAUUUGGCAGUGGCUCAGGAAAGAAGUUCUUCCAGAUGCACACCUUGUAUGCUUGGCAUCCCUGAAAGGAGAUCUGCAUUCUCAAGACCUACUACAUUGCUUGUCUUGGGCCCAGAACAAGUGAUGGAGCUGGACCCUCUCCCAGAUGGGCAGAAGUUUAUCCAUCAUUCUGGAAGAGGCUGAUAUCCAUGUCACUUCCCUUCCUAUCUCCCCCUCCCUGCUUCCCCCCAACACACACACUCAUUGGCAUAACUACUUUGGGAAGACACAGCUCCUGGAACUAAUAGAAGAAGAAGGGGAGUGAGUGGAACCUACAAUUCUAUUGUGGGGGGGGGGGAAUGGCAAUUGAGAGCCAGAAAAGUAGUGUCACUCUAGGGAGAUGUCAGUGACAAUUAUGGUUGGCUGCGAAGCUUAUGUGUCUCAGCACCCACGAAGCCAAAUUUUAGAUGAAUAGACCCCUUAGUAUUGAUGUUUUCAGCACAUCUGGCUCCCUUGGUCUUUGGCUCACAGACAGUCAAGAAUGUAUUUCAGUAACUAGAAAAAUUCAUGAAUAAAAGAUAGCUUUUGGAGGGGGGGAAGGAUAGAUUGAUGAAGUACAUGAUUGUGUGUCCAAUAUAUUUAUACUACUGUUUUA
Monodelphis domestica (gray short-tailed opossum) is the source of this 1076-nucleotide long non-coding RNA. RefSeq lists it as uncharacterized. The record is from RefSeq and is a predicted model, not a curated record. NCBI's taxonomy places the organism in Eukaryota, Metazoa, Chordata, Mammalia, Didelphimorphia, Didelphidae.